This 470-nucleotide ribosomal RNA is filed under the name uncultured bacterium. Its description in RNAcentral is "bacterial SSU rRNA". It matches the Rfam family "Bacterial small subunit ribosomal RNA", at positions 28 to 507 of the family's 1533-position model. The record is from RNAcentral.
GACGAACGCUGGCGGCGUGCCUAACACAUGCAAGUCGAACGAGGUCCAUGCAGUGGCAACACUGCGGAAGACCUAGUGGCGAACGGGUGAGUAACACGUGAGGAACCUGCCCCGAAGACCGGGAUAACCCUCCGAAAGGAGAGCUAAUACCGGAUACCCCCACCUGGUCGCAUGGCCGGGUGAGGAAAUGGAUUCCGCUUCGGGAGGGCCUCGCGGCCUAUCAGCUAGUUGGUGAGGUAACGGCUCACCAAGGCAUCGACGGGUAGCUGGUCUGAGAGGACGAUCAGCCACACUGGGACUGAGACACGGCCCAGACUCCUACGGGAGGCAGCAGUGGGGGAAUCUUGCGCAAUGGGCGAAAGCCUGACGCAGCAACGCCGCGUGGGGGAUGAAGGCUCUCGGGUUGUAAACCCCUUUCAGCAGGGACGAAAUUGACGGUACCUGCAGAAGAAGCCCCGGCUAACUACGUG